This 460-nucleotide ribosomal RNA is filed under the name uncultured bacterium. RNAcentral describes it as "partial 16S ribosomal RNA". It matches the Rfam family "Bacterial small subunit ribosomal RNA", at positions 338 to 795 of the family's 1533-position model. The record is from RNAcentral.
CCUACGGGUGGCAGCAGUGAGGAAUAUUGGUCAAUGGGCGAGAGCCUGAACCAGCCAAGUAGCGUGAAGGAUGACUGCCCUAUGGUUUGUAAACUUCUUUUAUAAGGGAAUAAAGUGAGGCACGUGUGCCUUUUUGUAUGUACUUUAUGAAUAAGCAUCGGCUAACUCCGUGCCAGCAGCCGCGGUAAUACGGAGGAUGCGAGCGUUAUCCGGAUUUAUUGGGUUUAAAGGGUGCGUAGAUGGGUUGUUAAGUCAGUUGUGAAAGUUUGCGGCUCAACCGUAAAAUUGCAAUUGAUACUGGUAGACUUGAGUACAGUUGAGGUAGGCGGAAUUCGUGGUGUAGCGGUGAAAUGCUUAGAUAUCACGAAGAACUCCGAUUGCGAAGGCAGCUUACUAAACUGUAACUGACAUUGAGGCUCGAAAGUGUGGGUAUCAAACAGGAUUAGAUACCCUAGUAGUC